This is a long non-coding RNA of Caretta caretta (loggerhead turtle), 11824 nucleotides long. RefSeq lists it as uncharacterized. Lineage: Eukaryota; Metazoa; Chordata; Testudines; Cheloniidae. The record is from RefSeq and is a predicted model, not a curated record.
UGCCGCCACGGCACUUUAAUGUUGCUGCCCCCUACCCAUCAGCGGUGCCCUGCAAAGGUCCCUGCAGCGCUUUAACGUUCCUGCCCCUUUUGGCCCCCUCCCGCCGACUGGCGGGGGGGGGCAAAGGGAGCAGCUGCCUUGGGGCCGGCAAUUUAAAAGGGCCCGGGGCUCCAGACACCGCUGCCGCUACGGGCCCUUUAAAUCAACAUGAGAGCCCUGGACGGUGCAGGCCAGCCGGGCUGGCUGGGGGAUGCUGACCCCCUCCAGCCCCGCCCCUUCCACCUGAGGCCCCUGCCCCGUACUUGUAAGUGGCCUCAGUUACUUUCACCCCUGCAUAUCACCCAUGUGGACAGAGCAGUGCACAGGAUUUAACAAAGUUCCAUUUGUUCAGCUUAACCUGCAUUCAGCUUCACCCUUUGUGAAUGAAACAGGACAGUUCGAGCUCCCAGAACCACAGACCCAGCACCAGGCACUCUUCACCAGUAACUUGUUGAAAAACUGGUGCUUUUAUGCACAGAUUAGAGCUGGCUGGAAUUCAGUUUAGCAAAACAUUUUGCCAUUUGUUUUUGUUCUGCAUUGCAUGAAAUUUUCCAUGGGGAAAAAAGAGACCCACACCUCAAAAUAGCCAGUAGCUCAUUGCUUAGCGCACUCAUCUUGUAUGUGGAACUCCCAGCUUUGCCUGAUUCAGGACACUCACCUGGGUCUUGCACAUCCCUGGGCUAUUGGCUAUUCUGGAAUGGGCCUCUCUGUCUGACCAGAAAUUCCGUUGUGGGCUGAGAAACCUUCCCUACAAGAUGUUCAUAGAAACCAAUAUAUUUCUGUGAAAACUUGUUUGACAGAUUAAACAUUUUGUGUCAGAAAAUACUAAUAUAAAAUUCCCAGCCAGGUCUAGUGCUGAUCUAUAAAACCUAAUCUUUGAUCUGCAAUAGGAAAGGAGGGACAUGAGUGGCAUAAUGUCAGCUGCAGAAUCAUAGCUAAAUAGCUCACCUCCUGUUCUGGUGGCAGUUUACUAACCUCAAACUAACAAAAAAUAAAUGUGAAGUUAUUGAAAAUGGAGUAAGACUUAACCAUAAUAAUGUGAAAGUUAUUGCAGAAGGAGAGGGGAAAGGAUGAAUUGUUAAGGUAGUUGAAAUAUUUUUCACAGCACCCUGGAAGAUCCAGAAAUUUUCUUUUAAGAUUAAUUGAGUACAUAAAGCCCUGUUUUGCACCUUCAUCCCUCCAACUGUGAAACAUCUGGCUUUGAGAUAUUUGAGAACAUAACUGUGCUGAUAACGAGAAGAUUCUAAGAGCAGCAAAGAUUAUUUAACGUUUGUCUUAUGAAGGAUGUAAAUUGUCUCUUUGAUAAUAUUUCAACUUUGACAAUUAAAGGGGAAUAGUUUAAAUGGAUAAAGGAGGCAAGAAAGUUUGAAAUACAGUGAUUUCCUUUCAAGUUCUUCAGUUACAAAGGGCAAACUUUGUCCAUUAAAUUAUGUGAAGAUGGGCAAGAAACUUUUCUAUCUGAAUAUCAGAAACCAUCUAAGUAUUUCAAACAGCUGAGCUCAUCUGAGGGCAAUAGCAAAGAAACUAGGCACUGAUUAGGUACAGAUAAAGCCAAACUGGAUCCCACGAAUUCACCAGUAUCCUUGAAGGUACCAGAUAUUAUAUUUAGCUAAGAUUUUAUCUCCAGUCUUUUAGAGAGAGACCUUUUUAUUCUUCUAAACAGUCACUCUGUUAUGGUCUAUCUUAAGGCUAAUAUGAAGUUAUUUCUCUCAUGUAAAUUAUAGUGUGGAAAGAGGUUUUUAUAGUGCUCUGUGCUUCAUAAUAUGGAACAAGGAUUUUAUAUUGCAUUAUGGAGACACUAUCAGUAAGACUAAAAGGACAAUAAAUACCUUCUUGAAUUAUAAUAAUUGAUGUUAGAAAGGAGGAGGGAUAUCAAUACCACAUUGAUUUUCUUUUACAUAUUGACUCGGGAGUAGCCAAUACAUAAACUUUACAUUAUUUUAAGAUGUGUGUAGGAGUCAAGCAUGUCUACGUCUCGUCCCUUAUAUUCAUAUUGAUAGAGGUAUGUGUCUAGACCACUGGAAACUCAUCUUCCUUCAGUGUCAUGCCAUGUGUUGAGUUUGUAGAUCAUUCUUUAUGUAGAGAUCCUCUAAUUAGUAAUUUAAAAUAUUCUGUAAUAAUUUGAAUGGGAUUAACUCUACUCCAAAUGUUAGUUUACAUGAUUUAUGGAGUGACAUUAAAUCAAAAUUACAUAAUAGUGAAAAAUCUGUAUUGUAGAAUAGCAUUGCUCUCAUUUGGGAUGACCUGCAUAACUCAUCCCUAGCAUCAUUUCUCAUGUGCAAUGGGAAUAUUUCAAAAUUAUGCCACACUGUUAUUAUUCUCUUUCAAGAAGAUAAUAUAGACAUAAUCAAGUAUAUUAAAAAACCCUGGCCUUGUAAACUUAUAUGAAAUGACUUGGUGUGGUGCUAAUGCUAAAAUCUAAUCUUAAUGAACUUCUAAGGCUGAACUAUCUCACACUCAAAAGGCAGUAAAUUGCAACCGUCUAGGUUGCUGUCUUAACAUUAAUUCAGACAUAGUGCACACCCUAUACUUCAUAAUGCCCAUCAUUCAUAUAACAGUGUGCAUGAGGUAAGGCUAAGGACAAUCUUUGUGACUGAUCUCGCAUGUCUAUUCAGGACUGAGAAAAGGGCUCCUUGCCAGGAACCUUAGUCCCAGAACAGUGCACUAUAGGCUGGUUACAUGCCUUUGUGUCAUUUUCUGUGUUAGAUUGUUGAGUUGCUGCUUUCAUUAAUCUCUUGCUGGAGACCACGUAGUGUAGACAUUGGCACAGCACAAUUCAUUUAGGUAUGUGUGCUCUCUUUCUUGAGAACAUGUUCUGCUGUUCCCACUGCAAGGCAAUUCCUGGUCACUGAACCCAAGCACUUAGUCAUGAUUUCAGUACCACCGUCCCCAAGUGCUCAAAAACAAUGAGUCAAAUCCCCCCCCCCCAAAAAAAAACAACCAAAAAAGCCUGAGAGAUUGACUUAGAAGCCACGAGGGUUUAUUUUUAAGAAACAAUUUUGAUUCUUUAUUUGCCUUCUGAGUUUUGAAUCUUUAAUAUGCAGUUGGGUCAUGUUCUCAAGUUUUUACUUUGUCGUCACUGAAAGUUGAGAUCUGCACAAAUCAAUAUCACUCCAGGAACUGAGGUUUUAAGAAAAACAUCAGAUAUUGUGAGAUGCACAAUAAAUUGUGAGGGUUAGCAACAUCCAUAUUUUGCAUUUUUUACAUCUGCCAUUAUUAACAUUUGCUACCACAUGCUUCAUUUAAAAUAUAAACACAAGGUCAUCCAUUUGGCACGUAACUGGGACGUGUGGCUCUGCAAUUUUCAGUUAGCAUCUGGCAGUUGUUGUUUUUUUUUUUUUUUAAAGCUGUCGUUAGUGCCGUGACACAGGCACACUCAGAGUCUUGACUUUCCCUUGGCAGCUGGAUCCCCAUUUAAAUAACGAACAGCUAGUGGUCAUAAUAUAAUGAAAGGCUGCACUAUAUAUGCAGGUAAACAAAAAAGAAAAACCCAACAGGAACAGUGGGGGGGGCUUGUUUAUUCCUCCCCCAUCCCCCCACUGUUCCUCAGACGUUCUUGUUAACUCCUGGAAAUGUGCUGGACAUGGCCCACCUUGAUUAUCACUUCAAAAGGUUUUCUCUCCCCCCCCACAGUCUCCUGCUGGUAAUAGCUCAUCUUAAGUGAUCACUCUCCUUACAAUGUGUAUAUUUUCAUGGUCUGUGUGUAUAUAAAAUCUUCUCAUUGUACUUCCCACUUUAUGCAUCCGAUGAAGUGAGCUGUAGCUCACGAAAGCCUAUGCUCAAAUAAAUUGGUUAGUCUCUAAGGUGCCUCAAGUACUCCUUUUCUUUUUUCUUUUUGCGAAUACAGACUAACACGGCUGCUACUCUGAAACCUUUCAUUAAAAUGUAUGUUUGUUUGCAUCCAGCUUACCAAGCAAUGUAGAUAUGUCACUUACUGGAAGUUUAUUCCUCAUGCCAACUUUUUUGGCUUCUUCAAAUGUUCUAAGCAAUGUUUUUGUAUUUUGAUAAAAAUGUUAAAUAGCUUUGGGUCAAGACACUAACCCUGCAGGUCUCUACUAGAACCUCCAAACUUGAUCAAUGCUGAUUUCCCAUUAACAAUUACAUUUUGAAAUCUAUCGGCGAUUUUUUAAUCUAAUUAACGUGAAUUAUUGAUUUUUAAUAAUGCUAGUUUUUAAAUCAAAAUGUCGUGCAGUGCUUAGUCAAAUGCCGUACAGAAGUCCAAGUAUAUUACAUCAACACAGUUAUCUUAUCAACCAAACUUGAUAAAAUUUUCAUUGAUGUGCCAAGUUUGUUUAGCAAGAUCCUUGCAUUUGGCUGAGUUGUGCAUGGCACCGGACUUCAGGAUCGUUUGGGUUAAACGGCGCGUCACACUAGUCAAUCUCCAUGCAUCACUGCUCAUCUAGGAUCAGGAUCAGGCCUAUCUGGGACAAGAAUGGUUUUGUUACAAACUGCCAUGCCCUGACUCUUCUUCUACAUGAGGGGCUGUGAAGGAGAGUAGCAUUGGGUGCACUUUGGAGGCUCUGUUCCACCUGGGGAUUCUCUUCUUGCCUAAGGAAUCCUCCUUUUGGUAGUUUUAAGCUAGUAUUAUGCCCCCUUUUCACUGUUGGAUCAUUUCAAAGGGUUCCACAGAGGGCUGAGGUUUUGGGUCCAGAUUUUUUGCAUUCACUCCCAUUUUGCGAAUCAACUAUAUUAAAAAAAAAAGCUGGGUGUAUGCAAACGGCACCUUUAAAAUCUGGCCCCAUAUUACUCAACUCCUUUACAUAGUGUAAGAACGUGGUCAAGUAGAGAGUUCAAAACUGUGGUAACUUAUUUGAAUCCUGCUGGAAUGUGGGGGUUUGGAUAAAGCAUCUGAACCACACUAUAGUUUUAUUUCUGAAAACACACACACAUAUAUAUUUGUAAAACUUAAAGCACAUCCCAUGGUCACGCCCGUUUUUCCUGAAAAGUCUUUCUAUUGCUUUCAAAUCUGAUAAUCUCCAUCAUCAGUCAUGUAUUCCAAAAGAGCACAUAACUUUCAAUGAAAGAUGCAAUGACCAUAGCUGUGCAAAGACAUCCUCUUCAGCACAUUACUUGAGUGUGAACAAGGUGCAGUCCCAGCCUUUCUGGGUCAAAUGAGCCACAUGACAAAGUACCUUUUUAGAACCUAAAACACUUAUACUUACAGCAGUCCAUCAUAAGCUUUUAGGACAUUGAAGAUAAUAGAGUUGCACCUACAUAUGUCAACCCACUGUGUUAAACAGUUGUCUGACGAGUAUCAAGGUAAUUAGUUAUGAUUCAUAAUACAGAGGCAGGUGUAUGUAACUUGCCAAAAAUGAUCUUUGAAAGACUAUGUAGGAUUGCCUAACUUGGAUAAAUAGGGUGAAAAAGCCCAUGUUUCAUUAUGUUGAGGUUUUGGCAGAAUGACUCAAGGAACAAACACCAAAGAGAACUUGUUCAGGAUGAAAUGUUAAAUGAGCACAGUGAGUUUUAAAAUAUUAUGGUGUAAACUAGCACAUCUCUCUACCUGAUAACACCUCAUUACUAAAAGUGAAAGAUUUAAAAACAAAACAAAAAAACAGAGUACUCAUCACUAUUUAUGAGCUUUGUUUUCAUUUAGCAUUCUGGAUAAUGACAAUCAAUGAUAGCAGCUUUCCUUUCAGGUCCUUACUGCUGCAACAUUUGGGAUCCAAAUGCAGCAGCAGAAUAUUUAUUUGUUUAAAACAAAUUGUCUUCAAUAAUCCAAUGAAAGAAAAAAGGUGAAAUAACUUUGAUCUUGAUGUCACUCUGAUAGCUACUGUAAUAAAACCUCAGGGAAAUAGCUUUUAUAGAAUCUAGUUAGUUAUUAAAGAGUCCCUUUAAUAAUUGGCCAGACAAGAUGAGGCUAUUGAAAGCUUAUGAGAUAAGAAACUGCGAGGUAAUGUGUUCAGAACUUGGCUUAAUAUUUUUAACUUAAUUUUUGUAUCUGAAGUUAUGAAUAUUGACUUGCUAUCUGUAUUUCAAAUGUUCUUACUCUGGGAACACUCAGAACUAGCCUUUAAGGUACAACAAUGAAGAAGCUAGACAGUGCUGAUGGGCCAUCAGCAAAGACAAUGGACUAUGGAAAAGGUUAGUUUCCUGUAAACGUUUCAACCAGCCUGUAAGCAAUGGCUGCUAUGACUCAGCAAGGGCAUGUGACCAGACCACAUGAUACUGAACUCCAUUUUGGGUACCUGUAUUUUUCCAGAAACUGGGCUCUGAACUUUUUUUGGGGACAAAGGGUUCUUGCCAUAUGUUAAAGCUAUAUAAGGUGGGGUGUGACAUCUAGGGGCCUCACUCCCCACACAAGGACCUAGAAACACCUGAGGAACAAUGACUGAACUGGGGGAAGUGCUGGUCCCAGGCUAAAAGGAUUUCUAGCUGUGUAUGGAAACAUGGUGAACUGCUUCUAUCAUCAGUCAGGGUGAGAAGUUGCUAAUUCAUAUCUGAUCUAUCUAGUAUGUUAGGCUUAGUUUGCGUCUUUGUUUAUUUACUAGGUAAUCUGCUUUGAUCUGUUUGCUAUCGCUUACAAUCUAUCUUUCUAUAGUUUUAAACUUGUUUUUUGGUUUAUCUAAACCAGUGUGCCUUUGAGUAAAGUGUCUGGGGGAAAAACAUCUCAGCUUGGUUAACACGGGCUUGUUGAGGGGAGACCUAACUGUUUAUGAGCUUGCACUGUACUGAUGCAGUGCAAGAUGGUAUAAUUUGGGGUUUAUUACUCCAAUGGGGGGAUGCGUGCCUGGGGAGCUAGGAAUUGGCUGGUGUCUGCUGUUUGUAGUUGGGUGGCUUAAGUACAGCACUCAGGUAGCUCAUUUUGGGUGAGUGGCACCACCUGCUGUUGUGUUGGGUGAUAACAGGGUCUGGUGAGGCUGGCUGUGUUUCCAACCAAACAGUGUGGAAAAAGGACCAGCCCAGCUGGGUAGUUAGAGGGGUACAGUGGUUCCCAUGGCUCCCAGACUGCACCCAGGGGAUGGAUCACCUGUCACGGGUGUAACAGGAUAAAUGUAGGAAGCAGUUGAGCUCCUUGUGGAAUAAAAUAGCUGAAACUAUAGGAGCAACUGCCUAAAAGAUAGGCCCCCUGCAAGGCCAGUCAUAAACUAAGCUAUGUGGGCUGAUGCAAAUACAGGGCCUGGGUAUUUUUUUGAUGAAGAGGUGUGUGUGUGAAAGAGAGAAAAAAACAGUUGAAAUGCCACAAGCAACAGAGAAGGCAGCAGAAAGCCAAGGACAGCCAGAGAAGUGCUUGUAGCAUGAUCUUGAGAGAAAGCUAAGAGUUCUGGCUGGAGAAAAAGGCUUGGAAGAUUGAGCAAUGAAACUGUCUCCUGUUUGAUUCUACUGUGUUCAGGAAAACAGGGCUUUGAUGCAACCCUGUUUGUUUAUAAGGAAUGUACACCAAGAAAUACCUGACUACAUUAGGAAGAGACACUGAUGAUGAAACAACCCACAAGACUCCAAACUGGCUAACCGCUUGGAUCAAAUAGGGUGUCCAGUGUGCACAUUAGAAAAAGAACUGUAAAUCAGACGUUGGCAGAAUGACCACAAAUGUUCAGAUUUUCAAAGCAGGCACUCAUCAAUGCAUGCAUAUACAUGUGCAUGCCGAGCUUAUUAAUGCAAAUACUAGAUGUGAGUGAGCCAAUCCAUUAUUUGCAAGCUCAGAUGGCCAGUCGGGCAUACCGAUGAGCCUGGGCAAAUAACUGGUUUGUACAUCCACAUUUACUGUGUGAGCACACAAGUUAGGCACAUGCAGAUGUACAAUCUCCAUGGAAUGUUCAUGGCUAGAUUUUAAAAUCCAGACAAAAUUCCUUUGGUGAACGUUGUUUGGCUUCAGCAUUUUUUUGCUGCUAAUAUUAAAAACAUAUUUUAUAUGGAAAAAAUGCAACACUUCAUUAAUGUUUUAUCUGAACUUUAUAUAAACAUUACGUGAAGAGUGCUCAUACUAUUAAUCUCAUUAUUAGAAAAAUUCUAAUUGUAUUGCUGUAGAUUAGUCUCCUCGGCUGAUGAAUUCUAUAAUAUUUAGCAGUUUUGAGGUUUGUUUUCUGCCUUGUAAGGCAACUAAGUCAGUUGUAUAGUCUUUCUGUGUGACACCCCAGGUACAAAGGUCACUAAUGAGUUCCAUAACAUGUCCUCAAACACCAGGAUUGAAAGUUGGCCACAUCAGUGGCACCCAACCCUUGACAGUAUCCUCUCAGUAGCAGGUGUUGAACAGUUUGCAGCACAAUCACAAAUUACAUCAUGCUGUCAGCUCCGGAAGCCACAUGUAAAAAAACUUCAUAAAAGAAGGUUCCGUCAAUUCUUUAAUCUCAGUUUAAUAUAUUUCACCGUAAUUAGUAUAUUUGAAUGUCAGUAUCUUUCAGAGUACUCCCUGACUGAAUUGGAGACCAUUUUUGUUCUCCCCAUGACCCAUCAAAGAUAAAGAAUUUGUUUACUGUAAAUGCACACCACUCCCUCGUAUAUGCCAUCUGCCACGCUUAGCCAUGGAGUGCUACAGUUUUCUAAUAGCUCUUUUAAUUUAAGAAAAAUAAUCUGAGAUGUUCAUUCUACAUCUAUAUAUAAAUUUACAAUUUGCAUUUUAACUUCAUCCCUACAUAUUAAAAAGCUGUAGUCCACUGUCAAUUAAUCCAUCAUUUUUUGUAACUUAGUUUCUUUAUAAUAAUCAAAGCUCUGUCCUCUUGGGAAAGCAAGGUAUCAGAUGCUAGUUCUUCCCCCAAAUCUGGCACAAAUCAAUUGAUCUGUAUAUCUAGCCCUCAUCACCCUAGUGUGAGUAGCCUCACCAUUAAUGUAUUUCUUUUCACUCCACCCUUUGAUGUAGGAGAGCAUAUCCUAUUUUUACAGAUGGGGAAAAUGAGAGUCAGAGAGACUUAGCUUGUAGUGUAAAUGUAGCCUAAGAGUGUGAUUCCCAGUUUGUGCACACAUACCCACACUAGCUCUCAUUGAGCUAGUGUAGCUGCAGUAGCUUGGGCAGUGGUAGAGGAGACGGGUACAAACCUGUCUGAAACCAGUGGGUACGUAUUCUGCAUGGCUAAGCUGUGCUGCUGUUCAAGCUACCCUACCAUUUAUACUUGUGCUAGCUUGAUGGAUGAGAGCAUGAGUAUGUGUAUGUGAGCUGAAAAUCACAGCACUAGCUUGUAGUGUAGAUAUAGUCUUGUGUGUCCUUGGGCAAGUCUGGGUGAGCUAGGAACUCAACCUGAGUCUGUCCCGUUCCCUAACUACUAGAUCAUCCUUUCUACCUUGAUGGGUCAUCUUGGGCACAGAGAGGUUUGUAGUUUUUCCCACAUGCAAAAUGUUAAUAAAACUAUCCCACUGGAAGGAGAUGUGAGACUUUAUUUAUGACUGUAAAGCAUUUUGUGGUGAUUGGAUGUACUAGCCAUUGUGCCACAGACCCAUUGGUACCAGCUGGAAUGUCAUGUAAGGUCACUAAUAAAAGCUUCUGUCAGACUGAUCCUUAUAAUCAUUGUGAGAUGUAUGUAAGGAUUAUAUCUGAGUUGUAUACAUGUACUGAAUAUAUGUUUUUAAAGUCUGUAACCAAUUAAAGGGGGAAAAACCAGUUUCUUCAAACAGGAGUUAGGAUGUAGAGUCACCUGACUAUCUUGGUGCACAUGUUCAUGUAAAUUAAGCAUUCUGUGCCAACACAAUGAGAGUCCAAUUUACAUAUGAAAUCAACAAGGGGACAGGAAGACCCAGGAGACUAGGUCAUAGGUGUUUGUCCUCUCUCUCUGGGGGCAAAAAAAAUCUACUUUGAAGAAUAUAAGUAGAAUGCAAGGAGACAUUUUGUAAUCCAUUCACCCUGGAAAAUCUCUGAUGGAAAAGGGGUGCUCCAUGAGUGCUUGGAUCCUGAUUUGGCUGAAAUCAGCUAGCUCUGCAAAAGACUAAACCUUUGGGGGAAAAUCUCCCUUUAUUAUAUAGGAAAGGCAAUGAUCGAUAAGUGUAGAUCCAGGCUUGUGUUUUAUGAUUUUUUUUAAUAUAACCAUUUUGUUUCUAAUUAUCGUUGCUCUUAAAUCUUAAUCUUUUGAUGAUUGAUAAGCUUGUUUUUGUUUUUUACUAUCUGUAUUGUGAUGUUAAAUAGGCAUUAACUGCAAGGCAAAAUAAGGGCUGGCAUAGCCUGAGGUGGUUGACAUCACCCUUGUUAGCCACCCAAACAAACAGAGUUGUCAUCCAGUUAAGCACCAGUAAGUCCUCCUCUCAGGGCAGUGGGGUAUGAAGGUGCCAGUCAGUCCUGGAAACCCAAGAAAGUGUCAUAGCCAUGUAUGGUAUCAAAGCAAAUAAUUUGAUUCCAUGUUUGCUUUUCACUUCUAAUUGCGGGUUUAAAAAUGAAAAUGGGAGUCUUUUCACUGACUUUACUGGCACUUGGAUCAGGCCCUAUCUUUAUAGAGAAGCUCAUUCAAAUAAUAUCAAACAUAUGGAAACUUCCCAUCUACACACAUCCCAGGAUAUUUAGGUGGGUCUUCAUCCUUCACCAUUCCUGUUGUGUCUAUGUACUACAGAGUAUUAAAUGCUGGAUGAUCCUAUAUGGCAAUAUGAUGCAGCAUUUACCCCUAAACUUACGGGGACAGAGACUCACCUAGUAGUACCUGAGGGAAUCACAAAACCCGGAACUAUAAGCUUUCAGGAAAUAAUUUUCAACUAUUCAUUAACUAUGUAUUUUUAAGUAUAUACGUAGUUGGCCUAAUUGAGCCUUGGCAUAAAUAAUUCCCCUGAAGUCACUGAAGUUAUACCUGUGCUGAAUUAAGUCCCUAUUUGUUAAUUAUUUUAAACCUGAAACAGCCAUCCCAUUCAAUUAGUUUUAAAUACUGUAUAUUUUUUACCUAAAAAGUCUCAAGAGACAUUCAGAACUUUAAAGAACAUCUCCCAGGCUUCUCUGGAUUCUUCUCCAAAAUUUAAUUCUAUAACAAUUUAUUCAAAAUCUUAGUGAACUAAAACGGUAUAGAAUUAUUUUCUUUUAAAAGAGCUUUUUUGCUCCCCUCACCACUCUACCUGUAAUUGUUCUUUCUCCAUUUCCUUUUUGUGGUCUGCUCAUAUAGUCACCAUGCUCUAGUAAUCAGGAGAAUAUUGCAAAGUAUUUUGGGUGUUCUAGUUCAGUGAGCACAUUUCCUUCAUUUAUAUGUCUAUACUCCUAAGGCAGUUAUUUUAUGUAUCUCUUUGCUUCACAUGGUAUAGGACUUUGAAUUCUUCUGUGCAUCACACCUUCAUUAGAAGUAAUUUAAUUUCAGUGGUUGUGUCAUGUUUUUUUCUGUAUGUCUAGUCUCUUUUUUUCUCUGUAGUGAAAGCAUUUUGAUUGUUCAGCAAAUCCACCUCUCAGUAUUUUAGCACGCUUGAGGACUUGUUCCUUUCAUCUUUUCUGCAUAUUUUGUGUCUGAAAAAACAUUAAUUUGUAUGCUCACAAUGGAUUACUUUAAUGUGGUGGUUGCAGAAUUCCAUUUUCCUAUUGUAUUUGGUCAGUAUGAAUGACAUAAGAGUAGAACUUGUAUCAAUAAUGGAAUUUUAUGUUUGUGGUGGUUAAUUAUUUCUUUUGUAUUUCAGGGCCAUCAGAAGCUGUAAACACCUAAAAACUUGGCUGUUUCAAGGAUGUGCAGAUGUAAGUAGGCAGCAGUUGCCACUGAGAAGACAAGUUCCACAGUGAUGGCUGAGAUUACAAUUCUGGAUCAGUUCUUCUCCCAGUGAAGACACUGGAAGGCUUGUCACUGAUUUCGGCAGAAGAAAAGAUCCUCAUUUCUUUUCAAAGGAUGGAAACUAAGAGGAAAGCCAUUGCCAUGCAGCCUGGUAGCAUCCUGCACCACUCCGUGGGUCCACUCUGAGCUGU